This 613-nucleotide long non-coding RNA is filed under the name Apis dorsata (giant honeybee). RNAcentral describes it as "uncharacterized LOC102681772, transcript variant X1". The record is from RNAcentral. Lineage: Eukaryota; Metazoa; Arthropoda; Insecta; Hymenoptera; Apidae.
GCUAAAACAAUUCGAAUUAUUGUGUCAAUUAGAGUGUCGCUACUUAUCGGUCACGUGAUCACUCCGCCAUAUUGAAAUUAUCACUACGAUUGAAUCGGACGAAUAAUUCUGUUUAUUUUUGAAUGCACGAUUCUUUUGAACUGUGAUUGUGAACAAUUGUGGCAAUAUUUUUCAAAGAUCGAAAGAAUUAUUGGAAUUAUUGCAAGCCUUUUCAAUGUCGAGGAGGUAAUGGAAAUCGUUCAAAGUUGAAGGAUUGUUUGGCAAAAAGGAACGAGAGAGAAACAGUAAACUUUGUUCAUCGCAAGGAAUGGAGUUUGUUAGCAUUCCAAACUUCGUUAGGAAUCGUAAUUUGAAACGAGAAAUGGAAGAAAGUGUCCGGAAAAUUAAUAAAUUUGCAUAUUUGUCUAAAUAUUUGCGUUUGAAGUGGAAAAUGCUAAUUAAAGAAAAGGCAAGCUGAAAAUUAUUCCAACCAGAAUAUAAAAUUUAAUAAACAAUUAUUUCCUACUCACCUAGUAAAGACAAGGCACAGUAACGUAGCACUAAGGAUCAUAAGUUGCUGACUUAAAGCUGAUUGAGAUUUUUGCAUAGCUCUGUGCAGAUCGUUCUGAAAAAA